AUGAUGCCAAUUUUCAAAAUUUUAUUGCCAGCAGAGAAAUGUUUCUUGAAGAACUGUUGGGUUUUGCCAUCUGCGUUCUCAGUCCUGAAGAUAGUUUUCUUACACUUCAUCACUGCACAAGAAGUUCAAACCCUGGAUUUAAAAGAAAAGACAUGUCAUAAACUUCAAGCUCCCAGAUUUUCUGGCAUCCAUGGACUCUUCUGUCUGCACAGCAGAGGAAUUGCACUGGUUCUGGAGGAGUUGUUACAGAUGUACACUGGCACGAGUGGAAAGAAGGAAGUUGCUUGGGAGUUCUACCCAUAUAGGAA
This 308-nucleotide long non-coding RNA is filed under the name Anser brachyrhynchus (Pink-footed goose). RNAcentral describes it as "lncRNA (ENSABRG00000013800.1)". The record is from RNAcentral. Lineage: Eukaryota; Metazoa; Chordata; Aves; Anseriformes; Anatidae.